CCUGUCCCCAGAGACAUUGCAGGUAUUACUGCUGUGUCACACAUACAUCAGUAGUUGUCAGAGAGGAGAGAAGCCAUGUUUGCACUCAGUGUUCAGACCUUUGAACACCUACUCCCUGAGAAAGGUAAGUCUGA
Molecule: small nucleolar RNA, 134 nt
Organism: Rattus norvegicus (Norway rat)
Lineage: Eukaryota; Metazoa; Chordata; Mammalia; Rodentia; Muridae
Product: small nucleolar RNA SNORA17
Source: Ensembl